AACGAACGCUGGCGGCAUGCCUAACACAUGCAAGUCGAACGAGACCUUCGGGUCUAGUGGCGCACGGGUGCGUAACGCGUGGGAACCUGCCCUUAGGUUCGGAAUAACUCCCCGAAAGGGGUGCUAAUACCGGAUAAUGUCUUCGGACCAAAGAUUUAUCGCCUUUGGAUGGGCCCGCGUUGGAUUAGCUAGUUGGUAGGGUAAAAGCCUACCAAGGCGACGAUCCAUAGCUGGUCUGAGAGGAUGAUCAGCCACACUGGGACUGAGACACGGCCCAGACCCCCACGGGGGGGAGGAGGGGGGAAUAUUGGAAAAUGGGGGAAAGGCUGGACCCGCAAUGGCCGGGGAGGUGAUAAAGGCUUAGGGGUGGAAAGGCUUUUUUCCCGGGGAUAAAAAGAAAGGACCCGGGGAAAAAGGCCCCGCUAACUCCGGG
This 433-nucleotide ribosomal RNA is filed under the name uncultured bacterium. RNAcentral describes it as "partial 16S ribosomal RNA". It matches the Rfam family "Bacterial small subunit ribosomal RNA", at positions 29 to 507 of the family's 1533-position model. The record is from RNAcentral.